Long non-coding RNA from Ictalurus punctatus (channel catfish), 810 nucleotides. Lineage: Eukaryota; Metazoa; Chordata; Actinopteri; Siluriformes; Ictaluridae. The record is from Ensembl.
GUCAUCAUUCAUCAAUCAAAUAAGUAAUUAAACAACCAGAUGCUAAUUUUACUUUUAGUUGUUUUUUUUUUAUGUGUACGUAAUUUCACGCACAUUCACGUGUUUAAACCUCACUAUUCCGAUGUGAAAAAGAAAUAAAUGAAACUGGUACAAAUAUGUGUUUGAUGCUCAUUCGAGAAGAUAAUUCAAUGCAAUUCAAACUCUUUAAAUCUGACAUUUACAAUAAAUAUCUGUGUACGACACGAGGCAGGUUGUUCUUUUGUGCUUUUUGUGCAAUAUUUCCCGCUUUUCUGCGCUGUAUACAGUAUAAACGUAUAUAACAUGUAUUUAUAGUAUUACAUUCUCAAAAACAAAACUUUGUGGAUAACACAGUACGAGUACCGGUGUACGGAUAUUUCUACAAUUUCAGGACUUUACAGCAGAUAUGUCGGCGUGUGUCCCACAUCCUCGUCCAGUGUAAAGGUGUCGUUUGGUUAUUAGAGCUUGUGCUCCAGCAUGAAGCUGAAAAUGUCAAUAUGAAAAGUGUUUUGUUUUCACGUGGACACAGACAUGAGGAUUUCACAAACACGGCUGAGUUCAUGACUUACAUGAAUCAACACAAAUGUAUAAUCACUGGGUUAGGGUUAGUGUUAGGGUUUAGGGGUUAGGGUUGGGGUUAGUUUUAGGGUUAGGGGUUAGGGUUAGGGUUAGGGGUUAGUGUUAGGGGUUAGUGUUAGGGUUAGGAUUAGGGGUUAGUAUUAGGGUUAGUGUUAGGGUUAGGGGUUAGUGUUAGGGUUAGAGGUUAGGGUUAGGGGUUAGUGUUAAGUUUAG